AUUGAACGCUGGCGGCUUGCCUUACACAUGCAGGUCGAACGGUAACGGGUUAAGCCGACAAGUGGCGAACGGGUGAGUAAUAUAUCGAAACGUGCCCAGUCGUGGGGGAUAACGUAAAGAAUUUUACGCUAAUACCGCAUACAAUCUAAGGAUGAAAGCGGGGGACUCGCAAGACCCUCGCGCGAUUGGAGCGGCCGAUAUCAAAUUAGGUUGUUGGUGGGGUAAAAGCCUACCAAGCCUGCGAUCUGUAGCUGGUCUGAGAGGACAACCAGCCACACUGGAACUGAGACACGGUCCAAACUCCUACGGGAGGCAGCAGUGGGGAAUUUUGGACAAUGGGCGCAAGCCUGAUCCAGCAAUGCCGCGUGCAGGAUGAAGGCCUUCGGGUUGUAAACUGCUUUUGUACGGAACGAAACGGUUCUCUUUAAUACAGGGGGCUAAUGACGGUACCGUAAGAAUAACCACCGGCUAACUACGUG
RNAcentral lists this ribosomal RNA (479 nucleotides) under uncultured bacterium. RNAcentral's name for it is "bacterial SSU rRNA". It matches the Rfam family "Bacterial small subunit ribosomal RNA", at positions 30 to 507 of the family's 1533-position model. The record is from RNAcentral.